This 582-nucleotide ribosomal RNA is filed under the name Lysinibacillus sphaericus. Its description in RNAcentral is "bacterial SSU rRNA". It matches the Rfam family "Bacterial small subunit ribosomal RNA", at positions 55 to 619 of the family's 1533-position model. Lineage: Bacteria; Bacillati; Bacillota; Bacilli; Caryophanales; Bacillaceae. The record is from RNAcentral.
AUGCAAGUCGAGCGAACAGAGAAGGAGCUUGCUCCUUUGACGUUAGCGGCGGACGGGUGAGUAACACGUGGGCAACCUACCUUAUAGUUUGGGAUAACUCCGGGAAACCGGGGCUAAUACCGAAUAAUCUGUUUCACCUCAUGGUGAAAUAUUGAAAGACGGUUUCGGCUGUCGCUAUAGGAUGGGCCCGCGGCGCAUUAGCUAGUUGGUGAGGUAACGGCUCACCAAGGCGACGAUGCGUAGCCGACCUGAGAGGGUGAUCGGCCACACUGGGACUGAGACACGGCCCAGACUCCUACGGGAGGCAGCAGUAGGGAAUCUUCCACAAUGGGCGAAAGCCUGAUGGAGCAACGCCGCGUGAGUGAAGAAGGAUUUCGGUUCGUAAAACUCUGUUGUAAGGGAAGAACAAGUACAGUAGUAACUGGCUGUACCUUGACGGGGCCUUAUUAAAAAGCCACGGCUAACUACGUGCCAGCAGCCGCGGUAAUACUUAGGUGGCAAGCGUUAUCCGGAAUUAUUGGGCGUAAAGCGCGCGCAGGUGGUUUCUUAAUUCUGAUGUGAAAGCNACGGCUCAACCGCGGA